This 501-nucleotide ribosomal RNA is filed under the name uncultured bacterium. Its description in RNAcentral is "partial 16S ribosomal RNA". It matches the Rfam family "Bacterial small subunit ribosomal RNA", at positions 30 to 523 of the family's 1533-position model. The record is from RNAcentral.
AUUGAACGCUGGCGGCAGGCUUAACACAUGCAAGUCGAGCGGAGAUGAGGUGCUUGCACCUUAUCUUAGCGGCGGACGGGUGAGUAAUGCUUAGGAAUCUGCCUAUUAGUGGGGGACAACAUUCCGAAAGGAAUGCUAAUACCGCAUACGUCCUACGGGAGAAAGCAGGGGAUCUUCGGACCUUGCGCUAAUAGAUGAGCCUAAGUCGGAUUAGCUAGUUGGUGGGGUAAAGGCCUACCAAGGCGACGAUCUGUAGCGGGUCUGAGAGGAUGGUCCGCCACACUGGGACUGAGACACGGCCCAGACUCCUACGGGAGGCAGCAGUGGGGAAUAUUGGACAAUGAGGGAAACCCUGAUCCAGCCAUGCCGCGUGUGUGAAGAAGGCCUUAUGGUUGUAAAGCACUUUAAGCGAGGAGGAGGCUACUGAGACUAAUACUCUUGGAUAGUGGACGUUACUCGCAGAAUAAGCACCGGCUAACUCUGUGCCAGCCGCCGCAGUAA